This 253-nucleotide ribosomal RNA is filed under the name uncultured Microcoleus sp. RNAcentral describes it as "partial 16S ribosomal RNA". It matches the Rfam family "Bacterial small subunit ribosomal RNA", at positions 524 to 776 of the family's 1533-position model. Lineage: Bacteria; Bacillati; Cyanobacteriota; Cyanophyceae; Oscillatoriales; Microcoleaceae. The record is from RNAcentral.
UACGGAGGAGGCAAGCGUUAUCCGGAAUUAUUGGGCGUAAAGCGUCCGUAGGUGGUUAUGUAAGUCUGCUGUCAAAGCACAGGGCUUAACCCUGUAAAGGCAGUGGAAACUACAAGACUCGAGUGCGGUAGGGGCAGAGGGAAUUCCCAGUGUAGCGGUGAAAUGCGUAGAGAUUGGGAAGAACACCUGUGGCGAAAGCGCUCUGCUGGACCGCAACUGACACUCAGGGACGAAAGCUAGGGGAGCGAAUGGG